This 450-nucleotide ribosomal RNA is filed under the name uncultured bacterium. RNAcentral's name for it is "SSU rRNA". It matches the Rfam family "Bacterial small subunit ribosomal RNA", at positions 26 to 518 of the family's 1533-position model. The record is from RNAcentral.
AGAGCGAACGCUGGCGGCAGGCUUAACACAUGCAAGUCGAGCGGGCGUAGCAAUACGGUCAGCGGCAGACGGGUGAGUAACGCGUGGGAACAUACCUCUUGGUUCGGGAACAACACAGGGAAACUUGUGCUAAUACCGGAUAAGCCCUUACGGGGAAAGAUUUAUCGCCGAGAGAUUGGCCCGCGUCUGAUUAGCUAGUUGGUAGGGUAAUGGCCUACCAAGGCGACGAUCAGUAGCUGGUCUGAGAGGAUGAUCAGCCACAUUGGGACUGAGACACGGCCCAAACUCCUACGGGAGGCAGCAGUGGGGAAUAUUGGACAAUGGGGGCAACCCUGAUCCAGCCAUGCCGCGUGAGUGAUGAAGGCCCUAGGGUUGUAAAGCUCUUUUGUGCGGGAAGAUAAUGACGGUACCGCAAGAAUAAGCCCCGGCUAACUUCGUGCCAGCAGCCGC